GCAGUAGCUUCGGCUGCUGAGUGGCGCACGGCUGAGGAACACGUGGGAACCUGCCCGACCGUGGGGGAUAACGCGCCGAAAGGCGUGCUAAUCCCGCAUACGUUCGCAAGAAGAAAGCAGCAAUGCGCGGUCGGAGGGGCCUGCGGCCCAUCAGGUAGUCGGCGGGGUAACGGCCCACCGAGCCAAUGACGGGUAGCUGGUCUGUGAGGACAGACAGCCAGACUGGGACUGAGACACGGCCCAGACUCCUACGGGAGGCAGCAGCAAGGAAUUUUCGGCAAUGGGCGCAAGCCUGACCGAGCAACGCCGCGUGGAGGAUGACGGCCUUCGGGUUGUAAACUCCUUUUCCAGGGGAUGAUGAUGACCGUACCCUGGGAAUCAGGCUCGGCUAACUCUGUGCCAGCAGCCGCGGUAAGACAGAGGAGCCAAGCGUUGUCCGGAUUGACUGGGCGUAAAGCGCACGCAGGCGGUGGGGCACGUGGGGUGUGAAAGCGGCCCGCUUAACGGGGCGAGGCCAUCCCAUACGGCCCGACUCGAGAGUGGCAGAGGUUCGUGGAAUUGCCGGUUUAGUGGUGAAAUGCGUAGAGAUCGGCAGGAACACCAAGGGGGAAACCAGCGAACUGGGCCAUAUCUGACGCUC
RNAcentral lists this ribosomal RNA (640 nucleotides) under uncultured bacterium. RNAcentral's name for it is "bacterial SSU rRNA". It matches the Rfam family "Bacterial small subunit ribosomal RNA", at positions 68 to 748 of the family's 1533-position model. The record is from RNAcentral.